RNAcentral lists this ribosomal RNA (425 nucleotides) under uncultured bacterium. RNAcentral's name for it is "partial 16S ribosomal RNA". It matches the Rfam family "Bacterial small subunit ribosomal RNA", at positions 354 to 796 of the family's 1533-position model. The record is from RNAcentral.
GUGGGGAAUAUUGGACAAUGGGCGCAAGCCUGAUCCAACCAUGCCGCGUGAGUGAUGAAGGCCUUAGGGUUGUAAAGCUCUUUCAGUGGGGACGAUAAUGACGGUACCCACAGAAGAAGCCCCGGCUAACUUCGUGCCAGCAGCCGCGGUAAUACGAAGGGGGCUAGCGUUGUUCGGAUUUACUGGGCGUAAAGCGCACGUAGGCGGAUCGUUAAGUCGGGGGUGAAAUCCUGGAGCUCAACUCCAGAACUGCCUUCGAUACUGGCGAUCUUGAGUCCGGAAGAGGUGAGUGGAACUCCUAGUGUAGAGGUGGAAUUCGUAGAUAUUAGGAAGAACACCAGUGGCGAAGGCGGCUCACUGGUCCGGUACUGACGCUGAGGUGCGAAAGCGUGGGGAGCAAACAGGAUUAGAAACCCGGGUAGUCC